Molecule: long non-coding RNA, 234 nt
Filed under: Helianthus annuus (common sunflower)
Lineage: Eukaryota; Viridiplantae; Streptophyta; Magnoliopsida; Asterales; Asteraceae
Description: sRNA HanXRQr2_Chr06g0257661
Source: RNAcentral
UUUGUAGAUUAUUACAAAUAUUAUAAACAAGCUAGGAUAUCUUGGGAACUUUACAAUCAACUAAGGUGCGGAUUCCUUCCUUUACUAUAUGUAUAGUUAGCAGGGAUGGCGGGAAAGUGUGAAGAGAGCUAAAAUAAACAAGUUGGAAACUUAAUGUGUAGUUUUAAUAAUGCAUGAAAUAAAUUAUCAGGAAUAAAUCUUUUGUAAACUCGUUUGGAUAUUAAUAAAAUAAGC